GAUGAACGCUAGCGGGAGGCCUAACACAUGCAAGCCGAGCGGUAUUGUUUCUUCGGAAAUGAGAGAGCGGCGUACGGGUGCGUAACACGUGUGCAACCUGCCUUUAUCUGGGGGAUAGCCUUUCGAAAGGAAGAUUAAUACUCCAUAAUAUAUUGAACGGCAUCGUUUAAUAUUGAAAGCUCCGGCGGAUAGAGAUGGGCACGCGCAAGAUUAGCUAGUUGGUGAGGUAACGGCUCACCAAGGCGAUGAUCUUUAGGGGGCCUGAGAGGGUGAUCCCCCACACUGGUACUGAGACACGGACCAGACUCCUACGGGAGGCAGCAGUGAGGAAUAUUGGUCAAUGGGUGCAAGCCUGAACCUGCCAUCCCGCGUGAAGGACGACUGCCCUAUGGGUUGUAAACUUCUUUUGUAUAGGGAUAAACCUACCCUCGAGAGGGUAGCUGGAGGAACUAUACGAAUAAGCACCGGCUAACUCCGUG
This 479-nucleotide ribosomal RNA is filed under the name uncultured bacterium. Its description in RNAcentral is "partial 16S ribosomal RNA". It matches the Rfam family "Bacterial small subunit ribosomal RNA", at positions 28 to 507 of the family's 1533-position model. The record is from RNAcentral.